RNAcentral lists this unclassified non-coding RNA (980 nucleotides) under Hevea brasiliensis (rubber tree). Lineage: Eukaryota; Viridiplantae; Streptophyta; Magnoliopsida; Malpighiales; Euphorbiaceae. The record is from RNAcentral.
UAAAAUUUUAGCUUCAAAAUUUGUCAAGUUAUUAAUAAAAUAUAAAGUUUCUCUGGUUUUUCUUCUGUUCUCUGCGCUCUAGGCAUUUUUCAAUGCCGAUCUUGCGAUUUCUCUCGCCCUUACUGGGCAGGGGGAGCUUCUCUGUCUGGCCGGUAAUGGGUUGACUCUCCCCACAGCCAGAUGGAUGUAAUUAAUAUUUUGUUGAAUGCUACUGUGAUAGAUCCAAACUUCAUUGGAGAGAGUCUUUUCAUGGGAUUUGAGUUUAUAGUGUUUGGUGUUAUUGUUUGCUGGGUUUUCUUUGCAUGCAGAUUCUAAAUCCUAGGUUGAGGCAUGAAGGUUACUCGGUUGGUUUUUGAAAGAUUAAGCCUCUUGAGACUAAUGGAUUGAUAUUUUUAGGGGCAACGUACCUCUUGGGGACGCUACCAGUGCUAUCUAUAGGCACCCAGUCCUUCAACGGCUUAGAGGAGCUCUACCCGUUGUCCAUUGGUCCUCCUAGGUUUCAUUUGUCAGUUCAUCAACUCAGUUUGGAGAUCAAUUAGUUUUUGUUUCUAGGCCUUUUUGAUUUGCUCAACUUUAUGGAGAGUUUCUUUUCUGUAAGGGAUCUUAGUCAAUAGGCGAUAGCCGUCUAGAUCCCUCUGAAACUACAUGGAUUUCUUGUAUUCUCUCCCGUUAAGGCUGCUAGGGUGAUGAGUGGUGGAAGGCGGCGAUUCUUCUCUACUUUCUCUUCCCUACCUGUUUCCUUCUCAACGGGUCGGAGUUGUCCAAAACCUAGUGUUCUUGGUUUUGGGCCUUUGGCUUUGUUUUUCCUAAUCUUAUUUGAGCUGGCUAAUUGAGCCUUUUUAGUUCAAAGUAGUUUAAACUUGUGUGAGCCUUGGGUCCAGCUUCUAAUCUUAUGCUGUAUUUUCAAGAUCUUUAGUCGAUCCUUCCUUUGUACUGGGUAUAGGCCCUUAUUCCUGCAAUGAAAUUUUAUAUAUCUAUAG